Molecule: small RNA, 543 nt
Filed under: Pan troglodytes (chimpanzee)
Lineage: Eukaryota; Metazoa; Chordata; Mammalia; Primates; Hominidae
Description: processed transcript
Source: RNAcentral
UUACAGGGAAUAUGUCACACCUGGUUUAAUUUAUUUUAGAACAAUUUAAAAGCCAGAAUUUGAUUUUUAGAAGCAAGAAAAUAGGGGCCAAAUUGUCACAUGGUGGCAGCUUUUAUGAAUAUGGCAUCAGUGUGGCUUUCUUUGAGAAUUCAAGACAAGUGUGAAUGGAGGCUGUGCAAGCAGGAGUCUGUAACAGAUCCUCUCUUCCCCAGGGCUGCCGGGGAGCGCUAUCGCAGGGAGAUGCUGGCCCACGGUGGAGGCAGGGAGCCCAUGCUCAUGGUUGAAGGUAUGCUUCAGAAGUGUCCUUCUGUUGAUGACUUCGUAAGUGCCCUCGUUUCCGACUUGGAUCUGGACUUCGAAACUUUCCUCAUGGAUUCUGAAUAAAAGAAACACUCUACACCUCUUAAAUCAAGGUCAUGUAGAUAAUGACUUUGUUAUAAAUGCUACAGCUGUGAGAGCUUGUUUCUGAUUUCAUUGUUCGCUUCUGUAAUUCUGAAAAACUUUAAACUGGUAGAACUUGGAAUAAAUAAUUUGUUUUAAUUA